Molecule: transfer RNA, 75 nt
Filed under: Bacillota bacterium
Lineage: Bacteria; Bacillati; Bacillota
Description: tRNA-Val
Rfam family: tRNA
About the family: Transfer RNA (tRNA) molecules are approximately 80 nucleotides in length.
Source: RNAcentral
GGGCGCGUAGCUCAGUGGGAGAGCACCUCCUUGACGCGGAGGGGGCCGCAGGUUCAAUCCCUGCCGCGCCCACCA